CUGGAUGGUAGUGUAUUGGACUACCAUGGCGGUCACGGGUAACGGAGAAUUAGGGUUCGAUUCCGGAGAAGGAGCCUGAGAAACGGCUACUACGUCUACGGAUGGCAGCAGGCGCGUAAAUUACCCAAUCCUGACUCAGGGAGGUAGUGACAAGAUAUAACAACGGGACUUUAAAUCCCGAUUGCAGUGAGGGUAUUCUAAAAAUAGCUUCGAGGACGAUUGGAGGGCAAGUCUGGUGCCAGCAGCCGCGGUAAUUCCAGCUCCAAUAGCAUAUAUUAAAGUUGUUGCAGUUAAAAGCUCGUAGUUGGAUUUCAAGAGAUACAUCUGGGAUAACCGGAAUGAUCUCUACGGUCUUCAGACUGUUACUGUGAGAAAAUUAGAGUGUUUAAAGCAGGCUAUUGCAGGAAUAUAUUAGCAUGGAAUAACGAAUGUGCUUACAAUAAGGUUAAUUGUAGGUUACGGUUAAUAGGGACAGUUGGGGGCAUUAGUAUUUAAUUGUCAGAGGUGAAAUUCUUGGAUUAGUUAAAGACUAACGUAUGCGAAAGCAUUUGCCAAAGAUGUUUUCAUUAAUCAAGAACGAAAGAUAGGGGAUCAAAGACGAUCAGAUACCGUC
RNAcentral lists this ribosomal RNA (613 nucleotides) under uncultured ciliate. Its description in RNAcentral is "SSU rRNA". It matches the Rfam family "Eukaryotic small subunit ribosomal RNA", at positions 319 to 1019 of the family's 1831-position model. Lineage: Eukaryota; Ciliophora. The record is from RNAcentral.